RNAcentral lists this long non-coding RNA (233 nucleotides) under Elaeis guineensis (African oil palm). RNAcentral's name for it is "long non-coding RNA (EGUI_LNC068688)". The record is from RNAcentral. Lineage: Eukaryota; Viridiplantae; Streptophyta; Magnoliopsida; Arecales; Arecaceae.
GUCAAAAGGCCUACAGAAAUGACAUUCAUAAAAAAGGAGGGACAAUAAUGAUAAUAAUUUAACAUGACACUACUAGACUUGAAGAUAAGAUGCAAAGUUUUCAAGGCCAGAAUUAGAAUAAGACUUUCAUCUCCAACAUUAAGGAAUCGCUUGCCCUCUCGAAACUUCCUACUUACCUGCAGUCUCUGCAAUAAAUUUUAUAUAUUAAUAAAACUUUUGAUAUCUAAUACCCA